AGAGUGAACGCUGGCGGUAGGCCUAACACAUGCAAGUCGAACGGCAGCACAGUGGUAGCAAUACCAUGGGUGGCGAGUGGCGGACGGGUGAGGAAUACAUCGGAAUCUACCUUUUCGUGGGGGAUAACGUAGGGAAACUUACGCUAAUACCGCAUACGCCCUUCGGGGGAAAGCCGGGGAUCGCAAGACCUGGCGCGGAUAGAUGAGCCGAUGUCGGAUUAGCUAGUUGGUGAGGUAAUGGCUCACCAAGGCGACGAUCCGUAGCUGGUCU
This 271-nucleotide ribosomal RNA is filed under the name uncultured soil bacterium. Its description in RNAcentral is "partial 16S ribosomal RNA". It matches the Rfam family "Bacterial small subunit ribosomal RNA", at positions 26 to 293 of the family's 1533-position model. The record is from RNAcentral.